This is a non-coding RNA of Delphinapterus leucas (beluga whale), 2582 nucleotides long. NCBI's taxonomy places the organism in Eukaryota, Metazoa, Chordata, Mammalia, Artiodactyla, Monodontidae. The record is from RefSeq and is a predicted model, not a curated record.
CAAAUUGCACACAGUUAAAAUAAUUUUUCCUUGUUUGUUUUAAUGCAGUUUCAAAUGGGCUUUCUUCGGAUGUGGAGGAAACACUGCAGCCCAAAAUAACAGUACUUCCUUUCAACUGUAUUGACAGGAACUGGGACUAUUUGGACUCAGUGUCAGCCACUACUCAUAUCGAAUCAAACUUCUCUUCAGUAAAAGGUUAUUUCUCUUUUCUUUCCCUAUGGUAACGUGUGAGUUUUGAAAAAGCCCACUGACAAUUACAAAGUGCAUCAAUGUGAUACCCAGAUUUGUGCAAUACGAUACCCAUGCUUUGGUUCUAUGGCCAUCACGGUUGCCUUUUCACAAUAAUAAAUACGACAGCUAGCAAAAAUAAAUCACCUCAUUUUAUGUAAGACAUCUCUCUUUGACAGGCCACACUAUAUUUAUAAUCAUUAAUCUAGCUCACUGCUAUGUCAUUCACAUUUCAGUUUUACAUGAAUAUGCAAAGAAUACAAUAAUCAACUGAACUGUCAAACCUAAACAAUUCAAUUUAUUACUUAGCAUAGAAUCUGUUGAAUAUUUUUGCCUCCCCGCUGAGCAAGGGAAAUACUGUCAAAUACAGUCUAAUGCUUGGUCCUAACUACUCAUCUGUCAAGUUGACGCCUCAUUAAAAAAAAAGGUACGUUUGACUCAACAAAGGUAUUAAAUUAUUUUCCCUAUUAUAAGUGCUUCACAGUAGCAAAUAAGUUAAUUUCAGAACUUACCACAGGCAGAUUGCUUUGUAGUUUUGUUUUUUCACCCUUUAGAGAAAUGGUAACUUCACCUAACUCAAUUUGAUUAAUUUAGUUCUUUGUAAAAUAGUAUUUGUGAUACUUUGAAUAAAAGAGUGAAUUAAGCUGCUGUUUUGAAAGAUUCAAUUGUUAAAUGAAGCAGAGGCUUUGUCUCUAAUUAAUUUUAGGGCUGCACUAGCCAAUAAGUUUAAUUCAAAUUGAGCUAUGCUGUAAACAUACUGGGUUUUGAAGACUUGGUUCAUAAAAAGAGCUGUAAAAUAACUCAAUACUUUUUUUAUAUUGAUGACAUUGAAAUGAUAACUUGGGUAUAUAGUGUUAAAUAAAUUCAUUUCACCUAUUUUUACUUUUUCUAAUGGGGCUACUAGAAAAUUUAAAUUUGCAUAUGUGGCCUUCAUUUGUGGCUAUAUUUCUGUUGGACAACACUGUUUUAGAGGGUCCAGGUGGAGUAUACAAGGCUUCUGUGGGUAUAACAGAGCUAAUUAAACCCCAAAAUCUCUGAAAAUCAUGAUUUAAACAUACUUCCAAGUAUUAAUAUCUUGAAAUGUAUAUUGCAUCUAUUUUAAAAACAUGCAUCUGUCAAAACAACGGGACUCCACUAUAGCCAUAAAACCUGUUAGCUGUCAAAGUAUGAAUAUCAAAAUAUGCAUCUUCUGAGUUUGCUUCUGAUGUGCCUUAGGGAUAAUGCAGAUAAUUCAAGCUUAAAACCAAAUGUGUUUGUCAUUUCCAGAUGAGAGAGUUAACAUUACAAGGCCCUACAAGAAAGACACGUUGCAAUUCAAGUCCAUAUUCUUGACCUUGCAAUUCAAGUCCAUAUUCUUGACCUUGCCCUGUUACUGUGAAGACUCAUGGGUCUGUCCAGUUAGUCUCUCCUCAUUGCCUGAAAGCAUCCCUUGCUCCAGCGGUCCUUGUCUCACAAAUCAUUCUCCAGCCAACUUUUCACAUUUUCUCUUCACACUUGAGACUGCUUCAUGGGAUCCUGAUCAAUUUGGUGUUUCUUCUCCUUUCUUUUUGAGCAAAGAAAGGACAAAUGAGUCAGAAAGAGGAGAGAAGAUAAUGAGGGUGACUAACUCAGGAUCACUUCUGUCACUUGUAGUGGCUGAGGGCCAGGCGAUACUCCAGUGACACGCUCCCGGCUGGCCCCAUCACACAGCCAUCAAGAACCUACUGUGAUCAUCAGAUACUUACUUCGACAUUUCAGCUAAAUCUUUAAGGAAGUGAAAGAAUCAGACUUUAGGAUCCUCUUAAGCUCAGAAGAUGCUGUUUAUAUUCGACCUCCACUCUGGUUAAAGAAGGCAAUUUGUUCCUCCUCAAAUGUUUUCAAGAUGGAUUUAAAGCAGUUUUUUCCAAAACUUUAAAAGCCAAUUCAGGAUCAGCACCCCCUGUUCCAAUGCCAAAGGAAGAUUAAAAUAAUAACACACAGAUGCCCACACUACCUGAAAAUGUGCACUUUGGGAAGUUAGGUGUAACUUAAGUGCAGAGAGUCUUCUACUAAAAAACUUUUACAAAAGUCACCAUGGUCCCAUUUGAAAUUACCCAGGUCAGGAGCUGUCCCUCUGGUCAGUGACUCUGUAGGAAUAACCACGGGGACUGCUUCGUGAUAAAGAUCUUGCUUCCUAUUUCAGAAGCUCACGGGGACUGCUUCGUGAUAAAGAUCUUGCUUCCUAUUUCAGAAGCUCUGAACACCAAAGAUAAAAGCUAUCUCAUUUUCACUUGCUUUUAAGAAACUGAAAAUAGGGACUUUCGUGGUGGUCCAGUGGUUGAGAAUCCGUCUUCCAGUGCAUGGGAUGCGGGUUUGAUCCCUGAUUGGGGAACUAA